AAGUCGUAACAAGGUCUCCGUAGGUGAACCUGCGGAGGGAUCAUUAACACGUAUCCAACACGUUAUAAACCCAAAACGGUCUCUUUUGUUCCCAUAGAGAAUAGGGGUCUAGUAAGCCAUAGAUGGAUUGCGUUUGGUCAGUCAAAACACUGUUUUGUUUGGUCAAAACUCUACUUACAGACUAUCGAACCUUUGAGUUUCACCCUAUUUUUUAUGGCGUAAAUCCAAGCCAUCUGGUUAUUAGUGCCAAACCGGUUCCGACCCGGAGCCUAAUAACCUUACUAAUCCUUUAUUUUUUACCCCUUUAUUUUUAAUAAAAUACUCUGACUUAACUACCAUAUAAACCUAUCAGGAUUAUAUUGUGUUAUACGAAACGCGAACAACUCUUAGCAACGGAUAUCUUGGUUCUC
This 410-nucleotide unclassified non-coding RNA is filed under the name fungal sp. Its description in RNAcentral is "partial internal transcribed spacer region". The stretch from base 1 to 46 matches the Rfam family "Eukaryotic small subunit ribosomal RNA", at positions 1786 to 1831 of the family's 1831-position model. The record is from RNAcentral. Lineage: Eukaryota; Fungi.